RNAcentral lists this ribosomal RNA (301 nucleotides) under uncultured bacterium. RNAcentral's name for it is "partial 16S ribosomal RNA". It matches the Rfam family "Bacterial small subunit ribosomal RNA", at positions 509 to 807 of the family's 1533-position model. The record is from RNAcentral.
CAGUAGCCGCGGUAAUACGAAGGGUGCAAGCGUUACUCGGAUUUACUGGGCGUAAAGCGUGCGUAGGCGGCUUUUUAAGUCGGAUGUGAAAUCCCUGAGCUUAACUUAGGAAUUGCAUUCGAUACUGGGAAGCUAGAGUAUGGGAGAGGAUGGUAGAAUUCCAGGUGUAGCGGUGAAAUGCGUAGAGAUCUGGAGGAAUACCGAUGGCGAAGGCAGCCAUCUGGCCUAAUACUGACGCUGAGGUACGAAAGCAUGGGGAGCAAACAGGAUUAGAUACCCGCGUAGUCCCUGUCUCUUAUAC